This 816-nucleotide long non-coding RNA is filed under the name Zalophus californianus (California sea lion). RNAcentral's name for it is "lncRNA (ENSZCAG00015003639.1)". The record is from RNAcentral. Lineage: Eukaryota; Metazoa; Chordata; Mammalia; Carnivora; Otariidae.
GCUCUGGAGGAAAAGGACAGAAAAAGUAAACAAACGGCACACCAAACGUGGCAUAAAGUGGCACAGCACAGAAAGAAUCUAAGUAGGGAGGAUGUGGCCAAGAUUGCUGAAUGGAGGGAUUGCUCACAGGAAAUGUGACGAUGAGUAAGACCGGCCUGGACCUCCGGAAGCGGACAACUCAGGAGCACAGUGCAGAGCAGAGGAAGUGCUCGAUUCAGUUAAACGGGCUUGGAGCGCUUGCGUCACUUGCCGUGUUACAGGCAGGUUUCCCAGAGGCAGCCCCAUCAAGCUGGGAGGCCAAGGUAAGCAGAACAGAGCGUGUUGGAAACAUCUCCUCUACUGGACGGACCAAAGAUUUAUUCCGUGAGCUUAAGAGUAUUGUUACAUGCCCAGGGACAUCUCCAUUCCCUCCUACAACAGCCAAGGAAAGCAGAAGGAAAGCAGAAGACAGUGGAGGCCCAAAGCUAGACCAAGAAAUAGCUUGUCCCUGGGGGUGAGAAACUCAAGACCCAUCCUUUGAAUUCAUCAGGUCUCUGUGAAAUAGUCAUACUACCCAUCCACUCGUGACUUCUCAACAGCAUUCUAUUGCAUCCAGUAGAAACAGUGCCUAAAAAUGGUCAUUGGUAUGUCAACUGGUUGGCAUAGCAACCAGUGACUGGUUUUCCAAUUGAGGAUAUAAUUCUUUUAACCCACGUAGAACAGGUUAUCAGAUCUGGGGAUAGUGGCACAUGAUAGAAAACAGACCCCUUGUAAUUGUACUGCUGAUCCUUACGAGGUGGCUAUUAAAGGUAAACAGCAUAAAUCCGAUACAAUUUU